Molecule: ribosomal RNA, 500 nt
Filed under: uncultured bacterium
Lineage: Bacteria
Description: partial 16S ribosomal RNA
Rfam family: Bacterial small subunit ribosomal RNA
Source: RNAcentral
AUUGAACGCUGGCGGAAUGCUUUACACAUGCAAGUCGAACGGCAGCACGGACUUCGGUCUGGUGGCGAGUGGCGAACGGGUGAGUAAUGUAUCGGAACGUGCCCAGUCGUGGGGGAUAACGUAGUGAAAAUUACGCUAAUACCGCAUACGAUCUAUGGAUGAAAGCGGGGGAUCGCAAGACCUCGCGCGAUUGGAGCGGCCGAUAUCAGAUUAGGUAGUUGGUGGGGUAAAGGCCCACCAAGCCAACGAUCUGUAGCUGGUCUGAGAGGACGACCAGCCACACUGGAACUGAGACACGGUCCAGACUCCUACGGGAGGCAGCAGUGGGGAAUUUUGGACAAUGGGCGAAAGCCUGAUCCAGCCAUUCCGCGUGCAGGAUGAAGGCCCUCGGGUUGUAAACUGCUUUUGUACAGAACGAAAAGGUUUCUACUAAUACUAGGAGCUCAUGGCAGUACUGUAAGGAUAAGCACCGGCUAACUACGUGCCAGCAGCCGCGGUAA